CCCGGGGAACUGAAACAUCUAAGUACCCGGAGGAAAGGAAAUCAAUAGAGACUCCGCUAGUAGUGGCGAGCGAACGCGGACCAGCCGAGCCAUGAGAAUGACCAGAACCGUUUGGAAAGACGGGCCAUAGUGGGUGACAGCCCCGUAUGGGAAGUUCGAUUGGACGUAUUAAGUAGGGCGGGACACGUGAAAUCCUGUCUGAAGAUCGGGGGACCACCCCCGAAGGCUAAGUACUCCUUACUGACCGAUAGCGAACCAGUACCGUGAGGGAAAGGUGAAAAGCACCCCGACGAGGGGAGUGAAACAGUUUCUGAAACCGGACGCCUACAAGCAGUCGGAGGGGCCUUGAGCCCUGACGGCGUACCUUUUGUAUAAUGGGUCAACGACUUGGUCUCACGAGCAAGCUUAAGCCGGUAGGUGUAGGCGCAGCGAAAGCGAGUCUUAAAAGGGCGUUUAGUUCGUGGGAUCAGACCCGAAACCAGAUGAUCUAGCCAUGUGCAGG
Molecule: ribosomal RNA, 502 nt
Filed under: uncultured bacterium
Lineage: Bacteria
Description: bacterial LSU rRNA
Rfam family: Bacterial large subunit ribosomal RNA
Source: RNAcentral